RNAcentral lists this unclassified non-coding RNA (1499 nucleotides) under Hevea brasiliensis (rubber tree). Lineage: Eukaryota; Viridiplantae; Streptophyta; Magnoliopsida; Malpighiales; Euphorbiaceae. The record is from RNAcentral.
CGGGGGACUAAGGGAGAACAAUCAGAGAGAGAAUUACUAAGUAGGAAUCUCCAUUAACUUAAUAGUGUUGCUUACAAAGGAAGCUUAUUUAAGCGGCAAUAUCAGAACACUUGUUUAUUAGUUGAACACCAAGUAGCUCUACUAGAGCCACUCAUGAGUAGCAAACAAGAGAAAAGGAACUUUAAAAAUCAUCUGAGGAAGCUUUGCUGGACCAGGCAAAUAGCUCAUAGACAAAACCAUUCUCCAUGGAUAUAGAUUUCACACUGCUGUCCCAUGAUACUUCCUUGCAGCCUCCCUACUGUCAAUGGUGGUCUUGUAAUUCUCAUCCGUUGUAUAAGGUCUUGAUGCAAAAUUGAACUUACCAUAUCUCUUUGAAGCUUCCCUGCUGUCAAUGGUUUCAGUGAAGCCUGGCUCAGUAUACCGGGAGUUAGGAGCAGUAUGGACAGAAGGCUUGGCAGCUUCUUUCAGAAUUCCAAUGGCUGCAUUGAUAUCACUUGUAGGUUCGGAGAGUUUGGACUCAGGUGGUGAGGUCCAUGUUGUAGGACUUGGCCUGACCCACCCGCCGCUGGUGAUCAUGGGAGGCUCAACUGGGGUAGCUUCCUUUCUGUCAAUGGUUUCUGUAUAGGCUGGUUCUGUAUACCUGAAACGGGGAGCAGUAGUGGUAGAAGGUUUGGCAGAUUCCUUGAAGAAUCCUGUGGCAGGGUUGACAUCGCUUGUUGGCUUGGAGAAGGUGGAAUUGGGAGUUGUACCCCAUGUUGAAUGACUAGGCCUAGGCCAUCCACCGGUGGUGACCUUUGCUGGUUCCACGGCGCCACCCUGCUUGUUGAAGUAAUCAUCAUAGCUGUCACUUCGGUAUGCAUUACCACUGGGCUUCUGCCAUUCCUUGUUGCCGUAAUCAUUGAACUCGCUAUUAUAGCCACCGUUAUUACCGGGAAAGCCUGUGGGUUUAAGGGUCUGACGCCAAUUUGCUGGAUUCACAGUGCCAAACCUGGGUCUGCUGGCCUCAAUUUGCACUUUGGUGAUGAAAUCAUCGACCUUUGAUGGGCGAUCCUGAGAUGGACUUGAAGAACUGUGCCACCUUUCUUCAACAACUCCACAACCCUCCAGUGGACUGCAAGAAUUAUGAUGGUGUUCUGAGGCAAAGGGUGAAAUAACGUGUUCUUGAACGAUUGUUUCAGUUCUUGUAACAAAGAAAUCUGAGUUCUGAGCUGGACCAAAAGAAACAAUUGGCCUUUUCCUUCCUUCAGCAUCGACGAUGACUGGCCGGCAGACAUGAUCAGAGGCAUAGCUUGUUUUGCUCCAAUCAUCAGCUCGUGGUGAAUUGUAGGCAGAAGAACUUCUGUGCGGAUAAUUAUACCCAGCCAUCACUUAGCCUUCCUUCUCUAAAGCCCUCUACUAGUAUAGCACUUCCUUUUCUUGCUUAUGAAAGAUUUUAACAAUUUGCUCAUAUAUAUAUAGGAAAAUUGUGUUCUCCUACCAUCAAAUGAAGGUGAUGGAAC